GGGCACAUGGUGUAGUUGGUUAUCACAUCCGCUUAGCAUCAUCUGGGUUCACACAAAAAUGUUAUGCGGGGGGUGCUGGGUUCAAUUCCCAGUGUGUCCA
Molecule: non-coding RNA, 100 nt
Organism: Gymnopus androsaceus JB14
Lineage: Eukaryota; Fungi; Basidiomycota; Agaricomycetes; Agaricales; Omphalotaceae
Source: the annotation of a GenBank genome assembly